RNAcentral lists this ribosomal RNA (406 nucleotides) under uncultured bacterium. Its description in RNAcentral is "partial 16S ribosomal RNA". It matches the Rfam family "Bacterial small subunit ribosomal RNA", at positions 30 to 526 of the family's 1533-position model. The record is from RNAcentral.
AUUGAACGCUGGCGGCAGGCCUAACACAUGCCAGUCGAGCGAGCGGAGGCCGGGUGAGUAAUGUCUGGGAAACUGCCUGAUGGAGGGGGGUAACUACUGGAAACGGUAGCUAAUACAGCAUACCAUCAGAUGUGCCCAGGUGGGAUUAGCUUGUCUGUGGGGUAACGGCUCCCCUCGGCGACGAUCCCUAGCUGGUCUGAGAGGAUGACCAGCAACACGGGAAAUGAGACACGGUCCAGAUUCCUACGGGAGGCAGCAGUGGGGAAGAUUGCACAAUGGGCGCAAGCCUGAUGCAGCCAUGCCGCGUGUGUGAAGAAGGCCUUCGGGUUGUAAAGCACUUUCAGCGGGGAGGCGUUACCCGCAGAAGAAGCACCGGCUAACUCCGUGCCAGCAGCCGCGGUAAUUC